This is a long non-coding RNA of Amphiprion ocellaris (clown anemonefish), 2046 nucleotides long. RefSeq lists it as uncharacterized. The record is from RefSeq and is a predicted model, not a curated record. NCBI's taxonomy places the organism in Eukaryota, Metazoa, Chordata, Actinopteri, Pomacentridae. The transcript is spliced from 3 exons.
AGCAAACCAGACCACACGGAGUUUAUUAGCAAGAGAAACGAGUGAACUAAAGGGCUCUUCUGAACAAACUGUAUUUUACAAGGAGUUACAAGGAGUAACUGGUCGAAGUUUUGUCGAGGAUUGUCGAGGAUUUAGAGGUUUUGUUUUCCUAUUCUCCGGUUGGUUUUUUGUUUACCCUGACAAACUGAGGGGGAGAAAGAAGCUGAGUUUAUUGUGCAACCCGCCGAUGGACAUACAGACGGACAAAGGACGUGCCACAGACAAGCAGAGAGUACAUGGCAGGUUUCCCAGAGACUAUGGGUUGAGGAGGAAUUGGAAAUUUGUCGGCUUAGACCUGGUGUCAUUCCAUCAGUGUUAAACUUCCAGGCUCAUCUUGGAAGAGUACGUGCCAGAAAGACCACGACUAAGCAGCCUUGAGAUCUUAGACAGCGUCUCCCUGAGGUGGGUGUCAACGGUGUUCACAGUCAGGUCUGUGGUAAUCCCUUCAAAAAACAAAACAGAAAAAAAUCUAGAUUAUAAAUCAACAUGUAACCAAAGCACUCUGUAUAUAAUGCCAUAGUAUAGGAUGUAGUUCAGAAAAUGUCAAAGUAUAGUAUGCUUUACUCAAGAAUAACAUAGUAUGGCCUGUAGUUCAUAGUACAGCAUGUUGGCAAGAAAAAAAACCAAAACAUAGAUUAUUAUUUCGUUCAAAAAGCGUAAAAUGAUAGGAUGUUAUCUAAAAUUGUCAUGUAUGAUAUGUGGUUCAAAAAAUGUCAUAGUGCAGUAUAUUGUCAAAAUAGUAUGUUAUUCAAGAAAACAUCAGAGUAUAAUAUGUCAUCUAAAAAAUGCCAUAGAAUAAUAAUUUCAUUGCACAAGUAAAAGUAUAGUAACUUUUAAAACUGUUCGAAUUCUUAUAUGUUGCUAAAAAAAAACAAAAAAAACAAAAACAAAAAAAAGUCAUAGUAAUAUGUCAGUUAAAAAAGCCUAUAGUAUAGCGUGUCGCCCAACAAACAUCAUAGUAUAGCAUGUCGCUCUAAAAACGUCACAGUAUAGCCUUUAGUCCACAGCUGUCAGUAGGUGAGGAGCAACACAAAAACAGUCCAAACGCUGGUUUCCAGAGGGUUAGACGAGAAUUUAUUUGAAAGAGUAAGUUUACAACAACACAACAUGUGAGGGGGUUGAAAACAAAUGGGUGUUAGUAAAAUAAAAAUAAAUCAACAGAACUAAAAGUGAACUUCAUGUUGACAUUGAUGGGCAUUCCAACCAGGAACAAAGUAAAAGAUAAUCAGUACGAAAAAAAACUCUUCCUGUUCACCUCUUAAAACCCCAAAACACACCGCAGUAGCACCCUAAACUAAAACUACCCAUGGGUUCCCCGUUUUCCUUUCUGAACAAUUCAAAGGUCCCUCUCUAUCUCCCUACAUAUCCACCAACCACUGGAACACAUCUCCAAAGUUCUGCCGGGCCAGCUCAGCUUCCCCUCAGAAGAAGUGCCGCCACCCGCCAGAUGAAGGAGCCUUUUGAGAGGCAGCUGGCAUCGUGAUUGGACUGUAUUUUGGUCUGUUCCAAUCCAGCUUCAGCUCCAGAGACGGCAGGCAGGACGAGUCAACGGAGGCUGGAUGGACGAAGGCAUGCAGCUGAGUACAAUCCAGAAAACAACAGAGGAGGAGUGCAGCAGCCCAGGGCCAGAACAAACACAGUAGCAUCGUAUGUCUCUUAGAAAGCAUCAUAGUAUAGCAUUUGGGAUGAAAAAAUGCCAUCAUAUACAUCAUAUAUUGUACAAAUAACAAGUCAAAGCAAAGACACAUACAUUGUAGAAUUGUAGUAAUUGUGGGCUGACUGGCCUUGGCAAUGGUCGUCGGAAUGUGAAUAACACUGACCACACCUCACAGAGGUUAUAAGCUGAGGCAACAUCAACCACCACCAGAACUGAAGCAGAACAGCCGCUUGGAUGAGAGGUGAAACGUCUUCAAGGAACCUUCUUAAAGUCCAGUUGGAUUGAUUUAAACAACUUUGGAUGACUGAUUUACUGAUUAUCAGUAUUUUAUUUUUUACUGAUUUACAGUA